GACGAACGCUGGCGGCGUGCCUAAUACAUGCAAGUUGAACGCUUGAUUUUCACCGAAGCUUGCUUCACCGAAAAUCAAGAGUAGCGAACGGGUGAGUAACGCGUGGGUAACCUACCUUUCAGCGGGGGAUAACUAUUGGAAACGAUAGCUAAUACCGCAUAACAAUGUUGGAUGCAUAUUCGACAUUUGAAAGUAUCAAUUGGUACACUGAGAGAUGGACCCGCGUUGUAUUAGCUAGUUGGUAGUGUAAUGGACUACCAAGGCGAUGAUACAUAGCCGACCUGAGAGGGUGAUCGGCCACAUUGGGACUGAGACACGGCCCAAACUCCUACGGGAGGCAGCAGUAGGGAAUCUUCGGCAAUGGACGAAAGUCUGACCGAGCAACGCCGCGUGAGUGAAGAAGGUUUUCGGAUCGUAAAACUCUGUUGUUAGAGAAGAACGUUGCAUAGAGUGGAAAAUUAUGCAAGUGACGGUAUCUAACCAGAAAGGGACGGCUAACUACGUGCCAGCAGCCGCGGUAAUACGUAGGUCCCGAGCGUUGUCCGGAUUUAUUGGGCGUAAAGCGAGCGCAGGUGGUUUAAUAAGUCUGAUGUAAAAGGCAGUGGCUCAACCAUUGUGU
RNAcentral lists this ribosomal RNA (619 nucleotides) under uncultured bacterium. Its description in RNAcentral is "bacterial SSU rRNA". It matches the Rfam family "Bacterial small subunit ribosomal RNA", at positions 28 to 621 of the family's 1533-position model. The record is from RNAcentral.